UAAUACAGAGGGUGCGAGCGUUGUCCGGAAUCACUGGGCGUAAAGGGCGCGUAGGUGGCGGCCCAAGUCGAUGGUGAAAGCUCGCCGCUCAACGGCGAGUCGGCCACCGAUACUGGGUUGCUGGAGCACUGUAGAGGCAGAUGGAAUUCCGGGUGUAGCGGUGGAAUGCGUAGAGAUCCGGAAGAACACCGGUGGCGAAGGCGGUCUGCUGGGCAGUUGCUGACACUGAGGCGCGACAGCGUGGGGAGCAAACAGG
This 256-nucleotide ribosomal RNA is filed under the name uncultured bacterium. RNAcentral describes it as "partial 16S ribosomal RNA". It matches the Rfam family "Bacterial small subunit ribosomal RNA", at positions 521 to 776 of the family's 1533-position model. The record is from RNAcentral.